AGAACGAACGCUGGCGGCAGGCUUAACACAUGCAAGUCGAGCGCCCCGCAAGGGGAGCGGCAGACGGGUGAGUAACGCGUGGGAACGUACCCCCCGGUUCGGAAUAACUCAGGGAAACUUGAGCUAAUACCGGAUACGGCUGGAAGGCGAAAGAUUCAUCGCCGGGGGGAUCGGCCCGCGUCCGAUUAGCUAGUUGGUGUGGUAACGGCGCACCAAGGCGACGAUCGGUAGCUGGUCUGAGAGGAUGAUCAGCCACAUUGGGACUGAGACACGGCCCAAACUCCUACGGGAGGCAGCAGUGGGGAAUAUUGGACAAUGGGCGCAAGCCUGAUCCAGCCAUGCCGCGUGAGUGAUGAGGCCUUAGGGUUGUAAAGCUCUUUCACCACGACGAUAAUGACGGUAGUGGGAGAAGAGCCCGGCUACUUCGUGCCAGCAGCCGC
This 440-nucleotide ribosomal RNA is filed under the name uncultured bacterium. Its description in RNAcentral is "SSU rRNA". It matches the Rfam family "Bacterial small subunit ribosomal RNA", at positions 26 to 518 of the family's 1533-position model. The record is from RNAcentral.